CGAUCUUUGUGUUCCUCAGAACAGCACCUUGGGCUGGGCUUGUGGUGCCAUCUUUUGCCAUUGGAUUUUCAACUCUACUCAUGAGUCUCUUCUGACCCCGAAGUGCAGAGAGGGGAAAGCCAGCAACAGAAAACAAAUGGAAAGAGCCCACACUCGUGACUUUUAACACUAUUCUUCAGAUGGUUUGUUCUUUCCAAGAAGAAGAAAAUAUCGUCUUCCUUUUCACCAUCUGGACUCCAGAGGAUCAUGCUGUUUGGCCCCCAAGAGUUAUCAACUCAGGAGAGUCAGGUUUGAAGCGUCUCUGGACCUCACAGUCCACAGGGUGGAUGACAACAAUACCAUCAUCGGAGAAGACGUAGAACAUGUUUCCCACGCUGAGACCUGGGAGGAGAGAACACAGCGUAGUCAUGGACUUCCUGUGUGGCCGGGCCACACACAGUAGAGGGGUACCAUACUUUCCUGGAGGGGUAGACAGUUCCCAAGGCUUGGAACCAACAUAACCUAUCAUAGCUGUGUACUACCCUGCAUCUCCUGCUCAGGCAAACAGGUUCCUGCUGCUGGAACGCAGUCCCUCAAAGAUGCCCAGGCUGGAGGGAGCACAUGGAAUUGCCCUCAAUGGCCAAUUCUAGUUGUCCUUUGGAGAAUCAUAUGGGGCUAGCUAUGUGCAUAUGCCUCAGUGCAGCCCCCCCAGCAAUCUCAAUGUCUGAGGCACCAUCCCAAAACACCUCUGUUGUGAAUGAUCUACCUUACAAACCUUGGGCUGAAACAGCUACUCUGGGCACAGCCUCCCUGGGCUUCUUUGAAAGUCAAUCACCAGAAAAGCCAACACAAGAUUGACAUCUUAAUGGAGCCCACACGGGGUUUGUAGAUGCAGCUACGUUUCCGACUGAGUGCAGCAGGGUGCUCAGUCAGUAUGGGAAGUGAGAGUCCAUACUCAUUCAACACACAGUCAACCUCACAGGAGACACAGCCUUCUGAUCCACCUCUAGUCAGCUCCGUAGAAAUCUCGCUUCUACGGCCAGGCUCCAAAGGGCUCCCAGCUUCCCUUGUUGCUGUUUUCUGGUCUCAUCUCCCUCCUAUUAAGAUUUGAGAGUGCCCUGGGGCCUGUGGUCCCUUCCUCUUGGCUUCUGUGUUCUGGCCUCUCUAGGACUUGAGUAUCAGCAGAGAAGGUCAAAGCAUUUAACCAUUGAGGUGAGAUGGGAUUUGUUCAAUGUUUCGCCAUUUACUCUGAAAGCAGCACCUACCAGCCCUAUAGUCUAAGGUGGCUCCAGCGUGCUUUGGUCCCUACAGAACACAGCAACCCCAGUAGACUUGUGUUUCCUUAACGAUACUCUGCUGCAUAAACCUGAGUCCCUCUCCAGUACCCUAACAGCACACCACUGCUAUAGACACACAGGGCAUGAGCUGAGCGUGCUUUGCAGUUGAGACACCAAAGCGGGGGUGGGGAUGGGGGGUGGCAGAGAAUGCAUUAAGGGUCACAGCCAGCAACCCUGCUGUGGGCCUCUGUCUGUCACAUGUACUGUGUCAGGCUCAGGAGACUAAGCUGGGUCUGUGCAUGCGUGUGACACAUGAGUUUGACUGAGUCCCCUUUCCCCUUGGCACGUAGGCCCUGCAAAGCUGGAGGCUCAGGGAAGCCCAGGGGACCAAGAACACAUGCGAUUACAGGCAUGACAUAGGAUAGUCACACUCAGUACCUUCUUCCCGCCACAAGAUGUUUGCCACUGUGGCAGCCGAGAAUUUGGAGAGCAGCCACAUGAUAGCCGGGAGAGAAAGAGAAAAGGACAAUGUCAAACCUUCACUGCUGUGAUUCAUUCCUCUAAGGAACAUUCUAGAAUCCACUUGUCACUUGAUGAAUCUGGGAUCACUCCCUGGUCCAGCGACAAUAUCAGUUCAGAGUGCUGGACCCACGUGGACACACUUUUAAGUCUCAGAAUGCUUUUUCUUUCUAAAUAAAUCAGAGUCCUAGGAUUCUAGCAGCCUCCUUGAUUCUGUGGGCGAUGACAAAUGGGUAGCCUCUCUCCCCAAUUUUCCAUGUCCUUCUUGGAAAGCUGAUUUUUCAGUUAAGACUCUCCAAGGAAGAAUAUUCUCUCAUUCAAUGAUCACAGCUUGGAGUCUGGCACUCAUUCCACGAUCCUACCUGCAUUCCAUGUACCUGAGGAAGCAGUAGGUACAAGAGAGAGGAUGCUUAGCCCCUGAGGUGGGUGAUGAUUCCCAGAGAAGGGGCCACUCUACUAUUAUAUAUUCAUCUGGGACCCUCCACUCCCCCAUACCACAGAGAAUGCUAAACCCCAUUCAUGGUUGUUUCCAUGUGUACACACAUACCACGAAUACAGUAGAAAAAUUAUAAUGUGCUGUGACGAAAACGUUAUUUAAGGGGCUGGAGAAAUAUCCUACCAGUUAAGAGCAUAGACUCCAGAGGACUAGAGUUCAAUUCCCAGCAUCCCACAACAGGCAGCUCAUCACCACCUGUAACUCCAGCUUCGAGAGCUCCGACCCCCUCUUCUGGCCUAUGUGUGAACCAGCCAGCACACACAGGUCCACAUUUAAAAAAAAUCUUAAAGUUAUUGAAGCCUUGUGAAGGGUCCGUUUUUGGAAUUUCAGAUAAAGGAGGCAUAACUACAGAGAGGGGGCAGCAGCUGUCUGCAUCUGUAACCUUCUAGGUCACCUGACCAGUCAUAUGUCACAGGAGGCAGGAGCAGAGCUGGGGUAUUUGGGCCUCCUUGUAGUCCUGGCCCGUGCGUCCUGACCAGAGACUCCUAUCGUCUGUUUCCAGAGCUGUGUAGGUUGCUUGAGAAGGUACCUAGUUUUGUGUACAGAGGAAAUAGAUUUAUCCCAGCCUUUAGAGGCUCCCAGUUAGUGGCUGUGGCCCUGGAGAGUUAGUGCAUUCCUCCCGUCCCCCUAACACUCCUGUAUAGCUCAGUGGGGACCUCCGAGCCAAUGGGGCACUCACGUGUCUUUCUAGCUGAGUCCUCAAUGAAGAGGGAGGAGAUAUCUUCAUCCACACCCACUUCAUUCUUGGCAAUGCAGGUGUACGCCCCGGUGUCUUCAUAGCGAACGCUGCGGAUGUGGAGUUCGCUUCCAUUGGCUGUAGAGGGGAGAGUGCACAGGGUGGGGCUUUCAGGGGCAACACUCUUUCAUGUGCCCUCCCCACCAUCCUCUCAGGAUCUCUGAAGAGCCGUGAGUUAAAACACAGUCAUUGGGUGUGGCUGAACGCCGUCAACAUUCUUGGGACUGGACCUAGGAUCGGGUGGUGCUGCUGAAAUAGAGGGUGACCAUGAUGCCUAUGAGACCUGUGUAUGCUAGUCAACAGGGAAUCCCUGUUUCCUCUUAACAUGCCAGACUCAGCCAUGAUCUUGCCUCUCAUUUCCUGUCCUGGGAUUCACAUGCAGUUCUUACCCAAGAGGGAGAGCUGUUUGGACAUCUGGGUUGAGACAUCCAUGCCAUUUUUCAGCCAAACGAUUCUGGGCAGGGGGAUGCCCUCAGCGUGGCAUCGAAGGCUGGCUGCCACCCCAGGUUCUUGUGCCUGGGUCUCUGGAUAGACACGGAUGACUGGUGGCACUGUGGAUGAGAAUCAGUAUUGGUAAGGACAAGUCCACACCUGGUCUUGGGCCUGUAGUCAAACCCCGAGACCCUUGAUCCAGAGGGUGAACCCGAGAGGUGACUCCGGAGGCCUUGGAACCAGUUUACAGUGAUCAUCUUUGACAACCCACGUACCGAGGAAAAAGGCUGUAAAACGAAUUACUAGUAAUAAACACAACCCGUGUUGUAGCCUGUAAUUCAUAGCUUCCACUCUUGUUCUAAAUAUGAUCAGAAAGACAUCCAAAUAUUUAACACUAUUCAGCCGCAGGAUGUAAAGAGCAGCUAGCAGCUGGAAUAAAUCUGUGAAUGAAUGAAA
This is a non-coding RNA of Rattus norvegicus (Norway rat), 3895 nucleotides long. Lineage: Eukaryota; Metazoa; Chordata; Mammalia; Rodentia; Muridae. The record is from RefSeq and is a predicted model, not a curated record.